Molecule: ribosomal RNA, 451 nt
Filed under: uncultured bacterium
Lineage: Bacteria
Description: bacterial SSU rRNA
Rfam family: Bacterial small subunit ribosomal RNA
Source: RNAcentral
ACUCCUACGGGAGGCAGCAGUGGGGAAUCUUGGACAAUGGGGGCGAACCCUCGAUCCAGCCAUGCCGCGUGAGUGAUGAAGGCCUUAGGGUCGUAAAGCUCUUUCGUCCUGUGAUGAUAAUGACAGUAGCAGGUAAAGAAACCCCGGCUAACUCCGUGCCAGCAGCCGCGGUAAUACGGAGGGGUUAGCGUUGUUCGGAAUUACUGGGGCGUAAAGCGCGCGUAGGCGGAUUAGUCAGUUAGAGGUGAAAUCCCAGGGCUCAACCCUGGAACUGCCUUUAAUACUGCUAGUCUUGAGUUCGAGAGAGGUGAGUGGAAUUCCGAGUGUAGAGGUGAAAUUCGUAGAUAUUCGGAGGAACACCAGUGGCGAAGGCGGCUCACUGGCUCGAUACUGACGCUGAGGUGCGAAAGUGUGGGGAGCAAACAGGAUUAGAUACCCUGGUAGGAUAGCG